CCCUGGCUUUAGGUCGGCGGCGGAGAAAACACCGAUGGAUUUGCCGUUUUCGUCUGCCAGCUCGUAGGCGGACGUACCAACCCGAGCUAUGACGGUGCAUGGGAGGUAGCAAGGUCCCAGCUUGGCAUUAUAGUGAUGGGGGGCAGAUGACUGGCGAAAGUUUCGCUUGUACACCUUUUGCCCUACCAUGUACACAGGUUUUUGUAAACGAGUUUGUAAAUAGACUGGUCAAUUUGAA
This is a long non-coding RNA of Armigeres subalbatus, 238 nucleotides long. RefSeq lists it as uncharacterized. The record is from RefSeq and is a predicted model, not a curated record. The transcript is spliced from 2 exons. Lineage: Eukaryota; Metazoa; Arthropoda; Insecta; Diptera; Culicidae.